RNAcentral lists this ribosomal RNA (465 nucleotides) under Vreelandella stevensii. Its description in RNAcentral is "partial 16S ribosomal RNA". It matches the Rfam family "Bacterial small subunit ribosomal RNA", at positions 338 to 795 of the family's 1533-position model. The record is from RNAcentral. Lineage: Bacteria; Pseudomonadati; Pseudomonadota; Gammaproteobacteria; Oceanospirillales; Halomonadaceae.
CCUACGGGUGGCAGCAGUGGGGAAUAUUGGACAAUGGGGCGAACCCUGAUCCAGCCAUGCCGCGUGUGUGAAGAAGGCCCUCGGGUUGUAAAGCACUUUCAGUGAGGAAGAACGCCUGGUGGUUAAUACCCAUCAGGAAAGACAUCACUCACAGAAGAAGCACCGGCUAACUCCGUGCCAGCAGCCGCGGUAAUACGGAGGUUGCGAGCGUUAAUCGGAAUUACUGGGCGUAAAGCGCGCGUAGGUGGCUUGAUAAGCCGGUUGUGAAAGCCCCGGGCUCAACCUGGGAACGGCAUCCGGAACUGUCAAGCUAGAGUGCAGGAGAGGAAGGUAGAAUUCCCGGUGUAGCGGUGAAAUGCGUAGAGAUCGGGAGGAAUACCAGUGGCGAAGGCGGCCUUCUGGACUGACACUGACACUGAGGUGCGAAAGCGUGGGUAGCAAACAGGAUUAGAUACCCCGGUAGUC